RNAcentral lists this unclassified non-coding RNA (728 nucleotides) under Hevea brasiliensis (rubber tree). Lineage: Eukaryota; Viridiplantae; Streptophyta; Magnoliopsida; Malpighiales; Euphorbiaceae. The record is from RNAcentral.
AAACUAUAUAAUAUUUUCCUAAUCAUCCAGUAGGAAAAACCACACCAGUCUUCUUGAUGAAGUCAUGUCUCCAAGAAAAUGUCUAGGUUUAUAUAAAGAAAAGAAAUGGAAUGUAUCUAUUAAAGAUAAAGGUGUCUCCCACACUUCCAAUUCCUGAGUCCGCCUCUGAGCACAGAUACGGGAAUAGUCAGGCCCCAAGAAGAUACGGAACACCGGUGAAGAAAACAAACCAGAAGCACAAAUAAUUCUAAAACAUUAAAUGUUAUAGUUCAAUAAUUUUGUCUCCUACUUCUGCCUCUUAUAUAUCUUCUCCAAGAAUGACUUGAGAACUGCUUGCAUUGGUUUGCUUAAUUUGGUUUCUUCAUCUUCAAUGGUAUUUAUCAGCUCUUCAUACGUAUUCUCCUCAUAUUCCCGGUACACAUCCUCAAGUUUGAGAUCCUUAUAGAGCGCCUCAAUUUUAGCAACACAAGCUUUAUCAUCUAUUCCAUAGUUCUCAUCCAAUAUUUUCUUCUGCUCCUCGUUGCAGCGCUCUAGGGCUUUCACAACCAACCAAGAACACUUGAAAUCUUUAAUAUCUGUGCCAUUCUUACCCAACACCUGUGGAUCAGCAAAGCAGUCCAGGUAAUCAUCCUGAACUUGGAAAUAUAUUCCCAUUUUGAUGAGUAUGUCCUUGGCAUUAGCAUGAUUGUCAAGAUUCUCUCCGGCCAUAAGAAGUGCACAUGCCACUG